RNAcentral lists this ribosomal RNA (454 nucleotides) under uncultured Methanolinea sp. RNAcentral describes it as "bacterial SSU rRNA". It matches the Rfam family "Archaeal small subunit ribosomal RNA", at positions 885 to 1338 of the family's 1478-position model. Lineage: Archaea; Methanobacteriati; Methanobacteriota; Methanomicrobia; Methanomicrobiales; Methanoregulaceae. The record is from RNAcentral.
CAGGUGGAGCCUGCGGUUUAAUCGGACUCAACGCCGGGAAACUCACCAGAUAAGACAGCUGAAUGAUAGUCGGGCUGAAGACUCUACUUGACUAGCUGAGAGGAGGUGCAUGGCCGUCGUCAGUUCGUACUGUGAAGCAUCCUGUUAAGUCAGGCAACGAGCGAGACCCACGCCAACAGUUGCCAGCUCGUCCUCCGGGAUGGUGGGGACACUGUUGGGACCGCCUCUGCUAAAGAGGAGGAAGGAAUGGGCAACGGUAGGUCAGCAUGCCCCGAAUUAUCCGGGCUACACGCGGGCUACAAUGGUCAGGACAAUGGGUAUCGACACCGAGAGGUGGAGGCAAUCUCCUAAACCUGUCCUUAGUUCGGAUUGUGGGCUGCAACUCGCCCACAUGAAGCUGGAAUCCGUAGUAAUCGCGUUUCAAAAUAGCGCGGUGAAUAUGUCCCUGCUCCUU